CGCCCCUCCUCGGGCCUAUUACUUUGACUAAAUGUGAGCGCUCGAUGCAGGCCCUUGGGGCCUUGAAACCCGCAGCAAAGAAUAACGGAACAGGGGCUCCCUGCUUCCCUCUGGUCAGUGACGGGCCAAUGAUUUAUUGGGGGGAUCGGGGUGGGCCACAUGGCGGGGGUAGGGGUGAAAUCCGUUGAUCCUCGCCAGGUGAACUAGAGCGAAAGCAGCCCACAAGUACCCUUUCUUAGAUCAAGAACGAAAGUCUGGGGAUCGAAGAUGAUCAGAUACCAUCGUAGUCCAGACCCUAAAUGAUGCCGGCCAUGGAUGGGCGCUAGUCCAUCCCGACCCUGCCCGGACCUUGUGAGAAAUCAUAAGCGUUUGGGCUCCGGGGGGAGUAUGGUCGCAAGACUGAAACUUAAAGGAAUUGACGGAAGAGCACACAAGGAGUGGAGCCUGCGGCUUAAUUUGACUCAACACGGGGAAACUCACUAGGGCAAGAGGGGGGUAGGAUCGACAGCCUAGCAGGGCUUUCCUGAUUCCCCCAGUGGUGGUGCAUGGUCGUUCUUAGUUCGUGGAUUGAUUUGUCUGGUCUAUUCCGCUAACGAGCGAGAACCCGCCCUUUGUGGUUGGGCCUCUGGGCACGCCUCCGGGGCUAGCUUCGUCACCGCAAGUAUGGCGGGGCAGGCGCCGGGGGCUGAAAACGCCCUUGGGCAUUCAGUCCGGAGGGACCGGCUCCGAUAAGGCGCCGGCAGCGGGUCAAUAACAGGUCAGUGAUGCCCUUAGAUGCUCUAGGCUGCACGCGCGCUACAAUGGGGCGAGCAUCGGGUCUCCUGUGCCUAACGGCGGCGGGUAAUCCGGUGAAAGCGCCCCGUAUCCGGGCUAGCGCCGUGUAAUCGGCGCUUAAACAAGGAAUUUCUAGUAGUCGCCCGUCACCAGCGGGCGACGAUUCUGUCCCUGCUCUUUGUACACACCGCCCGUCGCUCCUACCGAUUGGGCUACAAGGUGAGUUGCCCGGAGGAGGCAGAGGUUCGUAGUGGGAUAUCAGGCGCCGAAGGGAGGCGAACCCUGCGGCCUAGAGGAAGGAGAAGUCGUAACAAGGUAU
This 1093-nucleotide ribosomal RNA is filed under the name Trichia varia. RNAcentral's name for it is "bacterial SSU rRNA". It matches the Rfam family "Eukaryotic small subunit ribosomal RNA", at positions 734 to 1802 of the family's 1831-position model. The record is from RNAcentral. Lineage: Eukaryota; Evosea; Eumycetozoa; Trichiida; Trichiidae.